Molecule: ribosomal RNA, 253 nt
Filed under: uncultured bacterium
Lineage: Bacteria
Description: partial 16S ribosomal RNA
Rfam family: Bacterial small subunit ribosomal RNA
Source: RNAcentral
UACGUAGGGUGCAAGCGUUGUCCGGAAUUAUUGGGCGUAAAGAGCUCGUAGGCGGUUUGUCGCGUCGGCUGUGAAAACCCGCAGCUCAACUGUGGGCUUGCAGCUGAUACGGGCGGGCUGGGAUUCGGUAGGGGAGACUGGAAUUCCUGGUGUAGCGGUGAAAUGCGCAGAUAUCAGGAGGAACACCGGUGGCGAAGGCGGGUCUCUGGGCCGAUAUCGACGCUGAGGAGCGAAAGCGUGGGGAGCGAACAGG